AGAUCACCCAGUCUCCUGUAUUGAGAAUGGAUUUGACCGAGGAAAAACUUGUUAUUUGUUGAGAGACAUGUGAAUUUGCAGCUUUAGAUGUUCUAUUCAGGCAGCAUUUAAGUUUGGAGGGUCAACAGAUCAGACUUGGAGUCCUGAUAUGUGUCAGAAAUUGGGGAAGAUUACUGCCUGAGACAGCACAGGGCAGCGACAGUGAGAGAUGAAGGCAACAUCAGUGUGCGCCAGAGUUUUGCAACUCCACACGCAGUCCAUCAUGGACCAACAACUGCAGCAUCACCUAGGAGCUGUUAGAAGUACAGACUCUCAGAUCCCACCCCAGAUUCCUGAGUUGGAAUCUGUAAUUUGAUAAGAUUCUCAGGUACAUUAAAGUUCGAAAAGUGGCAUGUUAGUGAACUGAGAUUUCUAUGUCAAGGGAUGUACUUGGUGUUGAAGAGCUGAGUUCAGAGUUCAGAGAGCAGGUGUUCAAAAGCAAGUUCAAGUCAUACAAAAGAGCCAAGAAUAACCCAAGAGCUUCCACAUAUCUCUGUAAACAGGGUUAGAGGUUGUCAGGGUCACAGGCAGGACAGAUACCUUGCACAUUUUUUUCUUAAGAAAUCUCGAUUAUCAAUCUCAAAUUUUCUUUAAAGUGUUUUUUACUAUAACACAAAUAUUGAAACACAAAUAUGUGUACAAAUUAAUGCAUUUUAAUACUGUUUUACUGAGGUAAAAUUUACAUGUAAUAAAAUGCAUAACUUUUGAAGAAUGUGUUGUGUAUAUCAGAUAAUUGCUACUCUGAUUGAAAUAUAAAACAUGUUCAUCACCCCAGAAAUCUCUCUCUUAUCCUCUCAAAUUAAUUUUUAGCCCC
RNAcentral lists this long non-coding RNA (853 nucleotides) under Homo sapiens (human). RNAcentral describes it as "HSALNT0075514". The record is from RNAcentral. Lineage: Eukaryota; Metazoa; Chordata; Mammalia; Primates; Hominidae.